Molecule: non-coding RNA, 1358 nt
Filed under: Cryptosporidium parvum
Lineage: Eukaryota; Apicomplexa; Conoidasida; Eucoccidiorida; Cryptosporidiidae
Source: RNAcentral
ACUAAAGCCCUAAAAAAUUAAACUUUACAUAGUAAAAAAGUGUGUAGUGAUGGGGGAGGGAGUGGAUCUUAAUUUGAAUGCAUGACAAAGGAGUAUAUUUCCAUCUUCCCGAUGGUGUCAGACCCUUUAGGAUUUACCAAGGCAAGAGAGAUGCAACUGGGGAGGGCGAGGGAAAAAAGGUGGAAUAUGAUAAUAUUAAAAUAGAAAAACAAGAGUAAAAAAGGAGAUAGAAGGAUUAGAUGUGAUCUAGUGAAUCAUAAUCAACAAAGAAAAAGGAAAAAUAAACAUUAGUGAACCUUUAGCAAUAAAAAGGCUCCCAAAUACUUCAAAUUAAUUCCCCCAAUAUCUACUUAAAGUAAAAAAUAUUUAAUAAAUAUAUGUUCCCGCCUGCCACGUAACAUACAAAAUGACAUAAUGAGAAUUACGUGCAUGCAUUCACUGCGGUUAAGUUUUGGUGGGCCGAAUAAAAAAAAUUAUGCCUCUCUUUUAUUGAAUCUGUUAUUUCCAUGAUAUCCACCUCUAUGACUUCCUCCACCUCUUCUAUGAUGAGAACCUCUGUUAUAGGACCCAGUACGAGGUUUUACAGCUGACGUUCCAAAGGUUUCCUUGUCUAUUUGUUUUUGUUUUUCUCUGAGGGCUUUAGCUUGGGGAUCAGAUGAACCUUGAGGUUUUUUUGAGCGCUCAGGAUCUAAAGUUUCACAGGAAAUGCUAUCAAAGAAUCCAGAAACUUUGUUGUAUCCUCCAACCGUUAGUUUUUUGGAUGGGUCAUCAUCAGUAGUAUCAUUACUUGCAUUAGAAUUUCCACUAAUACCUAGACCUGUAUUCAUAGCUCCAGAUUUGUUACCGGUAUCUGAAAUGGUACCUUCUAAUUUAACUCCCUGUUCCGUUUGAGCAGAAGCAAGUCCUUCAUUGAGCGUUUUCUCGAAUUUCUUAUUUUGUUCGGAAAAAUCAAAUUCAGUAUCAAGUUCUGCUUUGAGAGCCUGAUUAAUUCUAGGCUUUAGUUCUCCAACAAUGAAAGACCUUUGACUACCUCCACCAUUGUUAUAAUGAGAGCUUCCUCCGCUACCUUUAUAAGAUUUUCCUGAAUAUCCACCACCUCUUUGUCUAUUCCUGGAAUGAUCUUUGCGUCCGUUCGAGAUUGAUGAGCUCCCUUGAUUAGUGCCUGAGGGUUUUCCUCCGGAUACAGCAUUGCUAUAGCUCAUUUUAGGGGAACGUCUAGAGUUACUUGAACUAGUUUCAAGUGGUUUUUGCUGAUUAACACUGCUAGUAUCAGCGACAUGACUCUGACCUUGGCUCUGAGCUGAAGUAGUCCCUGAUCCUCCAUUAACUGAUAAUAUCGCAGGAUCAUUUGGAAGUCC